AUAAGUAGCGAGAAACCAGGUGAGAACCCUGGUCGCCGAAAGUCUAAGGAUUCCUGAGAAAGGUUAAUCCGCUCAGGGUUAGUCGGAGCCUAAGGUGAGGCCGAAAGGCGUAGCCGAUGGACACACGGUUAACAUUCCGUGACUACUUUGUUUUUCGAAGCGGGGACGCAGCGCCGAGCUCCUGGUGCGCAAUGGUUUCAAUCCAGGGGGGAGGCGAGAGCCGGAUAGGCAAAUCCGCCGGCUUGUCUGCCAGGAAAAUCCGCUAAGGUUAGGAACAGAGUAUCCGUACCAUAAACCGACACAGGUGGACGAGUAGAAAAUACUAAGGCGCUCGGGUGAUGGAUUGUUCAGGAACUAGGCAAAUUAGCUCCGUAACUUCGGGAGAAGGAGUGCCCCUUUUUGAUAAGGAGGGGGCCGCAGUGAAUAGCGUCAGGCGACUGUUUAACAAAAACACAGGUCUCUGCAAAGUCGAAAACGACGUAUAGGGGCUGACGCCUGCCCGGUGCCGGAAGGUUAAAGGGAGAGGUUAGCCGCAAGGCGAAGCUUUGAACUGAAGCCCCGGUGAACGGCGGCCGUAACAAUAACGGUCCUAAGGUAGCGAAAUUCCUUGUCGGGUAAGUUCCGACCUGCACGAAUGGCGUAACGAUCUGACGACUGUCUUAACAAUCUGCCCGGCGAACUUGUGGUUCCGGUGAAGACGCCGGAUGCCCGCAUCAAGACGGAAAGACCCCGUGCACCUUUACUAUACCCUAUCAAUGAACUAUGGGGUGCUCUGCGCAGGAUAGGUGGGAGGCUUGGAAUCCGGGUUCUCGGACUCGGAGGAGCCAACGGUGAGAUACCACCCUGGGCAUUCUGUGGUUCUAACUUAUCCGGGUGAAUCCCCGGAAAGGACAUUGGUAGGCGGGUAGUUUGACUGGGGCGGUCGCCUCCUAAACGGUAACGGAGGCGCUCGAAGCUUGGUUCAGGAGGCUUGGAAAUCCUCCAUCGAGUGCAAAGGCAUAAACCAGGUUGACUGCGAGACCAACAAGUCAAGCAGGUGCGAAAGCAGGACUUAGUGAUCCGGUGGUUCUGAAUGGAAGGGCCAUCGCUCAACGGAUAAAAGGUACGCCGGGGAUAACAGGCUGAUCGGAGUCAAGAGUUCACAUCGACGCUCCGGUUUGGCACCUCGAUGUCAGUUCAUCGCAUCCUGGGGGUGUAGAAGCUCCCAAGGGUUAGGCUGUUCGCCUAUUAAAGCGGUACGUGAACUGGGUUCAGAACGUCGCGAGACAGUUCGGUCCCUAUCUGAUGUGGGCGCAGGAGAUUUGAGGGGGCUUGUCCUUAGUACGAGAGGACCGGGAUGAACAGACCUCUUGUGAUCCUGUUGUCACACCAGUGGCACAGCAGGGUAGCGAAGUCUGGUUAGGAUAAGCGCUGAAGGCAUAUAAGCGCGAAACCUUCCCCAAGAUGAGAUCUCCCAAGCGAAAGCUAAGAAGGGCCGUGGAAGACGACCACGUUGAUAGGCUGGAUGUGUAAGCGUAGCAAUACGUUGAGCUGACCAGUACUAAUCGCCCGUUCGGCUUGACC
This 1563-nucleotide ribosomal RNA is filed under the name metagenome. Its description in RNAcentral is "bacterial LSU rRNA". It matches the Rfam family "Bacterial large subunit ribosomal RNA", at positions 1302 to 2925 of the family's 2925-position model. The record is from RNAcentral.